RNAcentral lists this ribosomal RNA (497 nucleotides) under uncultured bacterium. RNAcentral describes it as "partial 16S ribosomal RNA". It matches the Rfam family "Bacterial small subunit ribosomal RNA", at positions 28 to 507 of the family's 1533-position model. The record is from RNAcentral.
GAUGAACGCUGGCGGCGUGCCUAAUACAUGCAAGUCGAGCGAAAACACGAGGAGCUCGUUCCUCUGCCGUUAGCGGCGGACGGGUGAGUAACACGUGGAUAACCUACCUAUAAGACUGGGAUAACUUCGGGAAAACGGAGCUACUAAUGCAAAAUAUCUUCAACAGCAUGGUUCAAUAGUGAUAGACGCUUUUGCUGUCACUUAUAGAUGGAUCCGUCUCGCAUUAGCUAGUUGGUAAGGUAACGGCAUAUCAAGGCAACGAUGCGUAGCCGACCUGAGAGGAUGAUCAGCCACACUGGAACUGAGACACGGUCCAGACUCCUACGGGAGGCAGCAGUAGGGAAUCUUGCGCAAUGGGCGAAAGCCUGACACAGCAACGCCGCGUAAGUGAUGAAGGUCUUCGGAUCGUAAAGCCCUUUUAUUAGGGAAGAACAAAUGUGGAAGGAACUAGACACGUCUUGACGGUACCUAAUGAGAAAGCCACGGCUAACUACGUG